Canis lupus familiaris (dog) is the source of this 888-nucleotide long non-coding RNA. RefSeq lists it as uncharacterized. The transcript is spliced from 3 exons. The record is from RefSeq and is a predicted model, not a curated record. NCBI's taxonomy places the organism in Eukaryota, Metazoa, Chordata, Mammalia, Carnivora, Canidae.
UUUUGGAAAAUGUGCUAUGACUUUAUCUCUAGACCUUCGCACCGGAGCAGUUAGUUCAGCCCAGCAAAUCCCUGGCACUUGAUGUGCAUCUUUCAUAACAGAACUUUGAUGCUGUGACUUGAUGCCUUGAAAUCAGCACAACAAAAUGGUGCUUGAAGAGCAGUGUUUACUUUGAUCAUUUUUCAACUUCUGUGCCCUAGCCUUUUCACGGAGUACAAAUUGCUUUACCAGAGUUAUGAGGCUGAAGCCCACGGACUGUUUUUGUAGUCUGGUUGCUGUGGUGAUUCUUAGCCUUCCAUGAAACUCCAUCUCCAGGGAAACAGAAACCUUUGCAGCUGUCUCAACCUUUUUGGUGCUGUAUCUGGUAGAGGUCUUCACCAAGCUUGUAGCAAGCCAGAGAGUGGUCGAUAGACAAAUACGUGGAAACAGGGCAUCGCAUUCAGGACACAUUGUAUUAUUUCCGACAAACAACUCUCUUAUCCUUCUCACGAAUCAUAGGGGACUUUGAAGUAUCUCCAAGUCUGACUAAAGCCAGAGUUCAGUGAGCCAUGGAGAUGUGUUGGUCAUGAUAAUGAUAUGAAAUUGAGAUGUCUUAUUUGCUGAGUUUGCAUAUAGCUUGUCCUUGAGAAUUUCCAGACCAGCAGUAGAGUAGUAUGCCCACUUUAUCAACAACUCUGGUGGGAAUUGGGUCCAGAGUAACAAAUGGAGAGCACUUCACAAGAAGGAAAACAGUUGGAGAAGACUGAGGGAAUCCAUCUUUAUAGGAGAACCUUCCUAUGAUGCCUCAGGUAGUGGAGAUGACUAAUGUGUUUUGUCUCCGGAUUUGCCUGCUUCGGACCUUUCAAAUAAAUGUAAUCAUACAACAUGUAAUGCUUUGUGUCUGGCCUU